Long non-coding RNA from Hemibagrus wyckioides, 451 nucleotides. RefSeq lists it as uncharacterized. The transcript has 3 exons. The record is from RefSeq and is a predicted model, not a curated record. NCBI's taxonomy places the organism in Eukaryota, Metazoa, Chordata, Actinopteri, Siluriformes, Bagridae.
UGGGACAUUAACCCUGCAGCAUGGUGACUGAUGUCUGUCGUAUCCAGGUUACACAGGAGUCAAGUGGAGGAAAGCUUUGGAGUGUGUGUGUGUGUGUGUAAACUUUAAAAAAGAAAGAAAGAAAUGAAAUAAAAGUGUCACGGAGACAAACGAGAGACAGAAAAAGUGGAAGAUAGAGCAGAAGGAGCCGACGCAGGGCAGUCUGCUCUCAGAGAGGAUUAUGGGGCUUAAGUGUACCGGAGGCAGAGAGACACCAAACACUGACACUGAGAAGAGACUCAUGGCUCCAGGUGAUGACCCGCUCCAUCGCACAACAUCACUGACGAGGGCUUUUUAACAGAAAGCACCAGGUGUGUUUUCUCUCGAGCCACAGCUGAGAGACCAGGAGGAAGAUCUGGAGAUGUCGUCAGCAUCGCUAAGCUUGUGGUGCAAACACACACACACACACACA